Molecule: long non-coding RNA, 2040 nt
Filed under: Medicago truncatula (barrel medic)
Lineage: Eukaryota; Viridiplantae; Streptophyta; Magnoliopsida; Fabales; Fabaceae
Description: lncRNA gene5233
Source: RNAcentral
CUAUUAUUAACAUAAAAAAUACACAUUACAAGAUGACCCACGAAGAUACAAAUACUUUAUCAUGAGACGACAUACGUCGUCGUUGGUGUUUUAAAAUUUUAUUAAGUAUUAAUUUAUGGUGGACGCUUCAUAUUAGAAUUUUUCAUGUUUCACAUAUAAAUUCAUAAAAGUCAUAGUUUUCUUAAGAAGAUGCCAUUAUUUUUUCAAUUAGAGGCCUUACAUAAGCCACAAACUUCUCUUGCUCAGGGGUGUUUUCUUUGAUGAUUGGAACAUCCUUGAAAUUAUUAAACCAUAAAUGCAAACGGGGGAAUCUCUCACUUUUUAAGAUCUUCACUUCAAACAUAUCUUCUUGAACCUCAAUAAAUUUGACAAAGGAUCCAAGAGCUAUGUCUACAAUGUUAAUGGUUUCUCCCCCAUAGAACUUAUUAUGAUCAUCCAAGCACUGGUCCUCAACAACUUUGAGUCGCUCCGAUAAAUUCUCCCUGGACUUUUCUCGUUCUUCACCUUUAAUUAUGCUUCGAUGGAACGCCCGAAUUGCCGAAAACUUCAAGUAUUGAUCCCAAUAUUAUUGUUAGUUUGAAUCAAGAUAGAAGGUAAAAUAUAAAGUUUUUUUUUUUGAAGCAGGUAAAAUAUAUUUGUUAUAGUCCAAUGAUUUUCUAUAGUAAGGGAGAGGUAAAACAAAUUUUAAUAUAUGAGAUUUUUUUUGUGCAUAUGAGACCUUUUUGUUUAUUAAAUCUAAUGAAAAAUAACUUUUUGUUUGUGCUUAAAAUGAAGGUUUUAGAAGUCUUACUCUUGAUUGGUCUUGAAUAUAGUUAUAAAUAGGCAAAACUACAACAUGAAUCCUUUAACUCAAUUUAAAGUUUUUUUUUUAGCAACUCAGUCUAAAGGUUUAAAAAGGUCGUUUAUAUGUUUUUUUCCAUGUCAAGCUGGUCAUUUAUGUUCAAAAACUUCAUUGGUAUUUAACCAAACUUCAUUUUUGAUAUAUGUAUGUUAUCAAAACUUUUACGAAACCAUUCAAAGAGAUUAAUUACAUCUUCAUUUUAUCAAUACAACAUCUAAAAUACAUCAUAACGGCUACUACAAUAUCAAAAUUAGCAUGAUAUAUUUUAAUUUUUUAUCCAAGAUUGUGAUCUUGUUAUCAACUAGAGUCCAAUUUUAGUGUUGAGUGUGGAACAUUCUUAAUAGUAUAUAUUCAAAGACCAUGUAGACAAUGGUAAAUAAGUGGAAUAAGAAUGAAAGUUAAGUCACUAGUGUAAGUAUUUUUAAAGAUAAAUGACUAAUUUGAUAUGGAAAAAGAAAAAUGAUUUGUUUGGAACUUUAAAUUAAGUUAAAUGACUUAUGGGUAGAUUUGCCUAGAAAACGAGUGGAACAUGUAUUGUGCAAGUGCAGUUUCAUGAUCACGAUGAAAAGGCUAGAAAUAAAAAAUAAAAAAAAGUAUACAAAUAUGAUGAUUAGGUUUUGAAAUUUGUUACCAUAUCAUCAAUAUAUUUAACCCAAAAUCGGGCUUGAGCUCUAGCAUAAGGAUCAGCAGGAAGCAAUGAAUUUUGUGGCCAUAUCUCAUCAAUGUAUUCAACAAUAAUCAUGGACUCACAUAUGGGUUUUCCAUCAUGAACCAGCACUGGAGUUUUUUUGUGUAUUGGGUUAUAUUGAAGAAGUUGAGGAGUCCUAUUGAAGUGAUCUUCUUCUAUACUAUCAUACGGUAUACCCUUCAGAUUUAGGGUCCAUACCACCCUUAAAGUGAAAGGACUAUACCAAGAUCCAUGUAGUUUUAUCUCUGCCAUCUUAAUUAGCCUGUGCAUGUUUUCCUAAAUGAAACACUAACCCUUUUUAAUAGGGUCAUCCAUGGAGCCAUUUGGCUUGGUCAACUAUUCAAAUUAAAAAGUAAAAUAGAAUACGUGUUACUAUCGCUUUGAUUUUUUACUCCAAUCCAUCGCUAUCAUUAACAAAUAUAACAAUUUGAAUAUGAAGUUGUGGAUUUAAUUAAGAUGAGAAAAGACAAAAUUGUGAAAAGAAAACAAAAUAUGACGAAUUUUUUCUAUA